GAAUUUGCCUCCAAAUGUGUCUGAAUCUGAAAUUGCGGAGGAAUUUAAAAAGUUUGGUGAAGUCAGUUCUGAGCCUGUGGUAAUGCGGAGCUGCAAGGAUGUCGGUGUCUUUUAUGCAUUUGUCGAAUUUGAAGAUAUAUCUCGUGUUCUCAAUGCAGUCAAGUUCGGUUCUGCACAAGUGCUGGGCGACGGGUAUAUAUUGAAGAGCGGGGACUGAACAGAGAUAUACCAUCCCAAGGAGGAAGUACGCAUUUCUUUCCUGUCUCAUUAUUAUCAAUGUUUAUGACAUGGUCAAUGUAAUACACAUAUGCUAGAUCUAGUGAGAGUAACAAAAGAUGGUGACUUUUUGGUCAAUGUAAUGACUUUUAUGGUUGCAUUUUUGUAACUUAAAACCAUAUCUAACCUGAAAAUACCCAACAGAUUGGGUAGUUUCCCGGGCCUCUGCUUCUCCAUGUUCCUCAGGUGGUUAUGAUGGGGUUGACUGAGAGUACAAGCAGUAUUAAGAAGUGGGCAGAAUUUAUCAGAUUAGGCAUUCUAGAUUCAGUAACAAUGGGAAGGGAGAUGUAAAAAGUUCUGGUUCCAGCAGUUUACACAUUAGACAUUCACCAGCGAUAUAGUAAUGCAAAUCAGUAUAUUUAGAUAUGGUGGCUUCGUUGUUUUAAAGGGGUUUCUUGAAACUUAUAUGAGAUAUUUCUAAUUUAUUAGGAAUGGGUAUCCAAUUUUGA
Mangifera indica (mango) is the source of this 725-nucleotide long non-coding RNA. RefSeq lists it as uncharacterized. Lineage: Eukaryota; Viridiplantae; Streptophyta; Magnoliopsida; Sapindales; Anacardiaceae. The transcript has 3 exons. The record is from RefSeq and is a predicted model, not a curated record.